UACGUAGGGGGCUAGCGUUGUCCGGAAUCAUUGGGCGUAAAGCGCGUGUAGGCGGUCCGGUAAGUCCGCUGUGAAAGUCGGGGGCUCAACCCUCGAAUGCCGGUGGAUACUGUCGGGCUAGAGUGCGGAAGAGGCGGAGUGGAAUUCCGUGGUGUAGCGGUGAAAUGCGCAGAUAUCAGGAGGAACACCAAUUGACGAAGGCAGCUCGCUGGGGACGUAACUGA
This 224-nucleotide ribosomal RNA is filed under the name uncultured bacterium. Its description in RNAcentral is "partial 16S ribosomal RNA". It matches the Rfam family "Bacterial small subunit ribosomal RNA", at positions 524 to 743 of the family's 1533-position model. The record is from RNAcentral.